This 488-nucleotide ribosomal RNA is filed under the name uncultured bacterium. Its description in RNAcentral is "bacterial SSU rRNA". It matches the Rfam family "Bacterial small subunit ribosomal RNA", at positions 8 to 518 of the family's 1533-position model. The record is from RNAcentral.
AGAGUUUGAUUCUGGCUCAGGAUUAACGCUGGCGGCAUGCCUAAUACAUGCAAGUCGAAUGGGGAGCUUGCUUCCCAUGGCGAACGGGUGAGUAAUACGUAGGUAACCUACCUUUAGGACGAGGAUAACCUUUGGAAACGAAGGAUAAUACUGGAUAGUAUAGAUUUCCGCAUGGAGAUAUAUUUAAAGAUUUAUCACCUAGAGAGGGGCCUGCGGUGCAUUAGCUAGUUGGCGGGAUAAAAGCCCACCAAGGCGAUGAUGCAUAGCCGGACUGAGAGGUUGUACGGCCACAAUGGAACUGAGAACGGUCCAUACUCCUACGGGAGGCAGCAGUAGGGAAUUUUCGGCAAUGGGCGGAAGCCUGACCGAGCAAAUGCCGCGUGAAUGAUGAAGUAUUUCGGUAUGUAAAGUUCUUUUAUCUAGGAAGAAAAAACAAAUUGACGGUUACUAGAUGAAUAAGCUCCGGCUAACUACGUGCCAGCAGCCGC